ACCCUAAUUCACCUUUGCCGUGUAGCAUAACAUAUUCAAAGGUUCUAGAGAUGAGAUGUGAACUUUUUGGGAGGCCAUUAUUCUGCCUACUGCAACCUGAAUACACUUUUAUUAAUCUUCCCAAAUGUGGUGGGGUUUUUUCCAACUAUAAUGAAGUUAUUAUUUUCCUGAUUAGAAAAAUGUAAUUUUGUAAUUUAAAAACGUUAUUAUAUUUCUCACUCUGUUUUGUUCUUUCCUUCAGUAAAUUCCUUUAUAUGCAGAUUUAAGACCAUUUUUGAGUGAGAUACAAUCCACAGAAAUUUGCAUAUGGUCCAGAAGGAUAUCAGGCACUCCUUUCUCUAGUGUGUAUUGUGAAAACAGAAGGUGUGAUUUUCUCCAGCCAUACAUUUCCAGCUCUAAAUUGAAUCUUACUCUCCUUUUUCUGAGGUGUACAUAUACCCCAGGUUACCUGCUGCUGAGAUUCUGCCUCAAGUCACUUGCCAGCCCACUGUUUGAUGCCCUUGGGAAUAGAUUCAGCGACUUUUGCUAGAAUUUGUAAUUCAGAAGGGGAGAACAUGGCCACCUCCUGAAGACCACAUGCUCCAGGAGGGAGAAGAGAAAUAAAGAUAUGCUUCAGAUCUGGAAAUGAGCAGCAAUGAUUGACAAGAGUGGGAAGCUGCCAACAGAAGCGAACCUGAAUUCUCCAGCACCAUCCUAGUCUCUGCAAGGUGAUCAAAAGAGAGAACCCUGGGAAAGAAUCCUGGACUCUUACAAGCUGGAUAGAAGGGCACAUGGGUAUCUGCAUGUAACAAUAAAGAACUUUUAAAAGGAAGAUACCCAGCCUGUUGGCUUUUAGAUUAUGGGGCAUUUAGAAUUUUAAGGAAUGGAAAUUAGCAUUAAUGGGCAUUUCCCCACUUACACAGAUGAUUCCAGACCUUAGGACUGGGUUUCCUAGGUUCUCCAUAGAACCCUUGUUUAUGGAGAAUGAUUUGUAAAUUCAUAUCAGGUUUGUUCUUUAAGCUAUUCCUUCAGAGUAGAGCUUGGCUGGAUUUAAACAGAUAUGAUACCUUGUCAGACCUUAAUUUCCUGUCAUUAGUGGCACCUUGUCAUGGUUGAGAUACUGCAGUAUAACAGUGACACCUAGGUUUUUCUGACAAUUCGUCUCUACUUAAAUCACUUCCUGAAAUUUCCCUUGGUAUAAGCUUUUUGUUGGUUGUUGUAACACACAACUUAAAUUUGAAUCCUAACACUUUUAGCUAUUUGUCUUUCUGUGAGGUGUGUAGGGUAAGUGGCGAAGGGCUGUCUUCUCAUUAUCUUUGGCAAAUUAAGAGAAUACCUUAGAACCAGCCAAAGAUGAGCACAGAAAUUCCCAGACAGAGUUAAUAAGCUGUUCUCGUCACGUGUGCUCUUUCCCCCAUUUGAAUUGUGCUGCUGCUGGCGCCAGCGUUGGCAGCAGAAAGAAAUAUGAUGUUCAGCUAAUGGUUUGAGAAGGGGAGGGAAGGACUUGGGGUCACCUGUGGCAUAUCCUAUUUUGAGCUGAGCGAAAGGAGAUUAAUGCUGUCACUGGCUUGAUUAGCAUUGCCACUGGCCUGGCUCUCGACUUUGAAAUGUAUUAAUUCCGAGAGAACAGCUCGCCAUCAGAGUUGUCUUGUCCAUGGUUGCAACUAACCUUGUAAAAUCUCAUGGCAAUGGGCUGACGGCAGGGGGAAGCGGAGACACUGCAAAGCGCUG
Molecule: long non-coding RNA, 1710 nt
Organism: Callithrix jacchus (white-tufted-ear marmoset)
Lineage: Eukaryota; Metazoa; Chordata; Mammalia; Primates; Cebidae
Source: Ensembl